Molecule: ribosomal RNA, 681 nt
Filed under: uncultured Thelephora
Lineage: Eukaryota; Fungi; Basidiomycota; Agaricomycetes; Thelephorales; Thelephoraceae
Description: eukaryotic LSU rRNA
Rfam family: 5.8S ribosomal RNA (bases 255-409)
Source: RNAcentral
GAGGAAGUAAAAGUCGUAACAAGGUUUCCGUAGGUGAACCUGCGGAAGGAUCAUUACUGAAUUGUCAAACGGGUUGUUGCUGGCCCUCAUAGGGGGCAUGUGCACGCUCUGUUUACACAUCCACUCACACCUGUGCACCCUCUGUAGUUCUAUGGUCUGGGGGACCCUGUCUUCCUUCUGUGGUUCUACGUCUUUACACACACACUGUAAUAAAGUUUUAUGGAAUGUACAUCGCGUCUAACGCAAUACAAUACAACUUUCAGCAACGGAUCUCUUGGCUCUCGCAUCGAUGAAGAACGCAGCGAAAUGCGAUAAGUAAUGUGAAUUGCAGAAUUCAGUGAAUCAUCGAAUCUUUGAACGCACCUUGCGCCCCUUGGCUAUUCCGAGGGGCAUGCCUGUUUGAGUAUCAUGAACACCUCAACUCUCAUGGUUUGCCAUGAUGAGUUGGACUCUGGGGGUUUUGCUGGCCUGUGGUCGGCUCCUCUCAAAUUAAUCAGCCUCCCAGUGUUUGGUGGCAUCACGGGUGUGAUAAAUAUCUACGCUCGCUGUUGUCUGCCAGGUAACCUUUGGUCACAAAGGUUUGCUGGAGCUCACAGAUGUCUCUCCUCAGCGAGGACAGCUUUUUUAACGUUCGAUCUCAAAUCAGGUAGGACUACCCGCUGAACUUAAGCAUAUCAAUAA